Molecule: ribosomal RNA, 253 nt
Filed under: uncultured bacterium
Lineage: Bacteria
Description: partial 16S ribosomal RNA
Rfam family: Bacterial small subunit ribosomal RNA
Source: RNAcentral
UACGUAGGGGGCAAGCGUUGUCCGGAAUUAUUGGGCGUAAAGAGCGUGUAGGCGGUCCGGUAAGUCAGCUGUGAAAGUCAAGGGCUCAACCCUUGAAUGCCGGUUGAUACUGUCGGGCUAGAGUCCGGAAGAGGCGAGUGGAAUUCCCGGUGUAGCGGUGAAAUGCGCAGAUAUCGGGAGGAACACCAAUGGCGAAGGCAGCUCGCUGGGACGGUACUGAUGCUGAGACGCGAAAGCGUGGGGAGCAAACAGG